UGGGGAAUAUUGGACAAUGGGCGCAAGCCUGAUCCAGCCAUGCCGCGUGAGUGAUGACGGCCUUAGGGUUGUAAAGCUCUUUCGCACGCGACGAUAGUGACGGUAGCGUGAGAAGAAGCCCCGGCUAACUUCGUG
RNAcentral lists this ribosomal RNA (135 nucleotides) under uncultured bacterium. RNAcentral describes it as "partial 16S ribosomal RNA". It matches the Rfam family "Bacterial small subunit ribosomal RNA", at positions 355 to 507 of the family's 1533-position model. The record is from RNAcentral.